RNAcentral lists this ribosomal RNA (462 nucleotides) under uncultured Syntrophus sp. Its description in RNAcentral is "bacterial SSU rRNA". It matches the Rfam family "Bacterial small subunit ribosomal RNA", at positions 920 to 1382 of the family's 1533-position model. Lineage: Bacteria; Pseudomonadati; Thermodesulfobacteriota; Syntrophia; Syntrophales; Syntrophaceae. The record is from RNAcentral.
CCCGCACAAGCGGUGGAGCAUGUGGUUUAAUUCGAUGCAACGCGAAGAACCUUACCUGGGCUUGACAUCCCGGGAAUCCCCUGGAAACAGGGGAGUGCCCUUCGGGGAACCCGGUGACAGGUGCUGCAUGGCUGUCGUCAGCUCGUGUCGUGAGAUGUUGGGUUAAGUCCCGCAACGAGCGCAACCCUUGUCUUUAAUUGCCAUCAUUUAGUUGGGCACUUUAAAGAGACUGCCGGUGUUAAGCCGGAGGAAGGUGGGAUGACGUCAAGUCCUCAUGGCCUUUAUGCCCAGGGCUACACACGUGCUACAAUGGGCGAGACAGAGCGACGCGAAGCCGCGAGGUGGAGCAAAUCGCAGAAAAUCGCCCUCAGUUCGGAUUGGAGUCUGAAACCCGACUCCAUGAAGGUGGAAUCGCUAGUAAUCGCGCAUCAGCAUGGCGCGGUGAAUACGUUCCCGGGCCUU